UAUUAACAUACACAAAAUCUGCUAGAAACAGAAGCUAAAUCCCUUUCAAAUGACGCAAGAAGGAAAGGGUGCAUAUAUCCUUGAAUGUACAUUGACAGGGGGAAAUGUUAAUAGAAAUAAAACGAUAGGUCACAGCUGGAACACUUGACUAGAAGUCUGUUUAGUAUGAGUUGAUCUGAUAAUCGUUAUCAAAGAGAACAAAAAGUAAAAACAAUUUGCCCUUUAUAUUAUCUUCGAUACCGAGAGGCUUUAGGAAACAGAACCAUACUUGCAGGGAAAGACUUCUAUACCGCAUCAAUUUCAGUUCCUAUAACAGGGAGAGCUACUAUAACAUUACAAUAUAUCCGUAUAUCAUCUGUCACCAGAAGAAAUAUCCGAAAACAAUUACUUGCUAAAAAAUGUCUCUGGUCUCAGCGUCGAAAGCUCUGGACAUCGCUUUGGAAAAAGACGAAAUAGAAGAAUUCUCAAUAUCGCUUUCUAAGAAAAGGCACGUCAGAGGAGAUUUUUCUUCAGCAUUCGUGUCUGGAAAUGGAGAGUAUACAACGAAAGAGAAAAUAACUUUCACCGUUAAAAAGAGAGGCUCUAAAUCAAACUAAUAAGACCUGUGAUCAUUUCUUCAUAUUAUAUUGGAAGAGUUUUCCAAGAGUUGCUUGAGAUGCCGCGGGUCUCUUUUUCUCAAACUUGCUACCAAAAUUUUUAACCGUGUUAAGUCUGAUGAUUUCAAGGCUGAUGGUUAAAGCAUAUUUGUAAUGAAUAGGAAAAAUAUUAAAUAAACACAUUCUAUGUAUCUUUAUAUAUA
This is a long non-coding RNA of Octopus bimaculoides (California two-spot octopus), 799 nucleotides long. RefSeq lists it as uncharacterized. NCBI's taxonomy places the organism in Eukaryota, Metazoa, Mollusca, Cephalopoda, Octopoda, Octopodidae. The record is from RefSeq and is a predicted model, not a curated record.